CGUGGCUGGCAUUGCGGCUGACCUCGGCUCGCCGGAGUCGCCGUGGUCACGCCCCAGUUCUUUGUGGUCCGGAUGCGGCCGGCGCAGCGCCAGGCUCGGCCAACUCGCGCGCGAGCUGGCUCUGCCUUUCCACCGCAGCCCCGCUGAUCCGGUGGGUGCCGCGAUCGCGCCGCUCGCAGUACCAGACUAAACCCUUAUCACCAACGACACAACGUCUUCCGGCAGCGCUAUCCGUAUUCGUGUCCUCCCUCCGCGGCGCAGGGCGACUUCAUGAGGAACCGCUCAUCCGGCUCCAAGCUCGGCUGCAGCGGCAGAGCGGGCGUGCGGAGCAGCUUGGAAAUGUCCGCGCGCCAAAACAUUUUUGGGAUUGGAGGUGUGAUCACUAGGGUUGGCUCUAGUGACCUGCCUCUGCACCGACCUAUCGGCUUCGGUCUGCCUUGUUGCUGCGGAAGGGGACCACUUGUUUGUUCAAGAUUGGGUUUCCUACCCCUCCAUCGGAGCGCAGAGUUUCAGAAGUGGUGAAGGUGUCUUUGAAAGACAACAAGGAGUACCGUGAUCCUCCACAGGAGGGACUUCCACAGCCAGCCCCUCAGCAGAAUGUGGAGGAAGCACAGGUCUCUCUUAAGGAGUAUUAUCAGGAUGAUAUCUCCUCUCUGGAGGCUCAGAUAGCAUAUAUGGACACGAAAGUGGCUGGAGUAAUUGGAGAUCCUGAUAUUAGCCCUGCGGACGCAAAGAGAGUUGCUAGAAAGUGGCUGGAGUAAUUGGAGAUCCUGAUAUUAGCCCUGCGGACGCAAAGAAAGUUGCUAGAAAACUAGGACGAGGACAAAAGUUUUUAAAUUGGGUAAAGGCAAAAGUUGCACAUAUGGAAGGGAUGGAAGCUGCUCCGGGGGUAGGAACCAGAGGGAGAUGUGGAGCAAGGAGCGCCUGAGCACAUUCAGGAAAAGCCCAUAGUCGUGUCUGCUCAGGAACCAGAGGGACCAGAUAUUGCCCUUGAUGGCCUGUCAGUAUCUUAACAGUCGAUAGAGAGAUUGCUAAUUGAAACAUCGUAUAGAAUGCAAAUGAACAUGCUAAAUGCAUGAGUAACAGCUCUUGCUGCAUCAUAAUUGCAAAAAUGAUUCCAAUAAUAUUGCCCAUAGCAUGUAGCCGUUGAUCCUCAGAUGAUUGUUUUGUUCCUGCGAAGGGAUGGAAGCUGCUCCGGAGGGACUGGGUGUCGAGGACCAGCGAGUCCCCAGAAUUUCAAGUAAUGAACUGUCAUAUAGGCUGAGUGAAUUCAAGGGUCUGCCCUUUAGACGAAUGCACCUACUGUUUUGAUGGACCUCAGUCACCCAGCCUUUUCUAUCUCAUACUGAGAGGCUCUUUUCACGGGCCAUAGUACGUCGAGGCUGUUCAGGAGAGCUGGACGUGUGACUUGUCAUCAUGUAUCUUAAACUUGUUCGCCUGUCCUCGGAGUUGAACUGAUUUGUGAGAAGCUAGCCCGCCAAUCUUUUGAUGAAGACAG
This is a long non-coding RNA of Panicum hallii, 1498 nucleotides long. RefSeq lists it as uncharacterized. NCBI's taxonomy places the organism in Eukaryota, Viridiplantae, Streptophyta, Magnoliopsida, Poales, Poaceae. The transcript has 5 exons. The record is from RefSeq and is a predicted model, not a curated record.